RNAcentral lists this transfer RNA (63 nucleotides) under Anthrenus verbasci (variegated carpet beetle). Its description in RNAcentral is "tRNA-Phe". The record is from RNAcentral. Lineage: Eukaryota; Metazoa; Arthropoda; Insecta; Coleoptera; Dermestidae. RNAcentral also lists the same sequence under 1 other name.
GCUUAAGUAGCUUAUUUAGAGUUUAUUAUUGAAGAUAUUGGGGAGGUUAUUGACCCUUAAGCA